GAUCAGGUUUUUUUUUUUUUUUUGGCAUCAAAUGAGUUUUAAGCUCAAGGGUCGUCAGGGAGACACUCUUGUCACAGUUUUGGUCCAGUCAUAUUGGAGUUCUUUACAUUGUGGGAUGGUUCAAGGAUUAAAUUAUAAAUGGUGAUUAUUUGUUGCUUUGAUUGUGAUAUUUUCUUGCCUUGGGUCUUGGAAUUUUAUUUGGG
RNAcentral lists this unclassified non-coding RNA (203 nucleotides) under Hevea brasiliensis (rubber tree). The record is from RNAcentral. Lineage: Eukaryota; Viridiplantae; Streptophyta; Magnoliopsida; Malpighiales; Euphorbiaceae.